GCAACACCAGACCUGAGCCACAUCUUCGACCUACACCACAGCUCACGGCAAAGCUGGAUCCUUAACCCGCUGAGUGAGGGUGUAGUUUUGCCACAAUCUGUGGCAUAGAUCAAAGAUGUGGCUAGAUCCGGUGUUGCUAUGGCUAUGGUAUAGGCCGGCAGCUGCAGCUCUGAUUCAACCCCUAGCCUGGGAACUUCCAUGUGCCACAGGUGCAGCCAUAAAAAGAAAAGGAAAAAAAUACGUAAAAUAACAAUAGCUCCAAGUGCCCUGUGCCAGGCUGUCUGCUAGGUAUUUCCUCAUCUCCUUUACCAACUCCCAUCAUUCUCCCAUUCUAUGGAAGAGGAAACUGAGGCACAGUGAGGGUGACGGACAAUGCUGGGCAACAGCAAUGCCAGGAUUCCAACCCAGAGCCCAACUGGACCCCGGUUACACCUGGCCCCCUCUCCUGCCAUCUCCACCCACCCCCGGCUGCCCCUUACCCCUUGCCCAGCCCCCAUGGGUGUCUCUUGGGGGGAGGCUCAGAAGUCCCAGUCAGCUCUGGAACCUGGUCCUGACUCCUAUCGCUUCCCACCUGGAGGGCAAUUCCAGUGCCGGACCCCUCGGUCUCCUCCCUGACAUGCUAUCAAGCCUCCCAGGGCAGAGCCGGUGACUCCCCCACCCUCUGAGAGAAGUGGGUACGGAGACUUUGGGGCCACUCUGGAGCUGUGGCACAGAGCUCCACAGACAGGCCCCUGGUUUCCAGGGGCCUGAAUUCCAUGCCCUGUGGAGCAGCAUCCCUGUACCGUGACCUGAGUGAUGGAGGGGAUGAAAGGGAGAAACCCCAGGUCAGUCCUGGCCUUACACGUGGUUUCCACUAGGAGGGACGGUCAGGCACCAUGACGGCCAUCUGCCUGGCCUCCUGGUACAGGAGUCCUAACACGGGGACACCUGACUCUGGGGGAUUUAUGGAGGGAGUGGGAGGCCCCAACUCCUCAGAUGUUUUAGGACAGCAAACAGGGCUAACUCACAGAUGAUUCACAGCUACGAGGGCUCCGCCUCUGAGGUCAGGCCCAUCCUAGGAUCGCAGAACUGCACUUGCUGGGCAGUUUAGAGCUACUGCUCUCACGGUGGCA
RNAcentral lists this long non-coding RNA (1112 nucleotides) under Sus scrofa (pig). RNAcentral describes it as "lncRNA (ENSSSCG00015054104.1)". Lineage: Eukaryota; Metazoa; Chordata; Mammalia; Artiodactyla; Suidae. The record is from RNAcentral.